AAGAUGGCGACCGGCGCACGGGUGAGUAACACAUAUCCAACCUGCCGAUAACUCCGGAAUAGCCUUUCGAAAGAAAGAUUAAUACCGGAUAGUAUACGAAUAUCGCAUGAUAUUUUUAUUAAAGAAUUUCGGUUAUCGAUGGGGAUGCGUUCCAUUAGUUUGUUGGCGGGGUAACGGCCCACCAAGACUACGAUGGAUAGGGGUUCUGAGAGGAAGGUCCCCCACAUUGGAACUGAGACACGGUCCAA
Molecule: ribosomal RNA, 248 nt
Filed under: uncultured bacterium
Lineage: Bacteria
Description: partial 16S ribosomal RNA
Rfam family: Bacterial small subunit ribosomal RNA
Source: RNAcentral